UACGGAGGACUCAAGCGUUAUCCGGAUUUAUUGGGUUUAAAGGGUGCGUAGGCGGCCCGGUAAGUUAGAGGUGAAAUCUCGACGCUCAACGUCGAAACUGCCUCUGAUACUGUCGGGCUAGAGUGUGGUUGCGGAAGGCGGAAUGUGUGGUGUAGCGGUGAAAUGCUUAGAGAUCACACAGAACACCGAUUGCGAAGGCAGCUUUCCAAGCCAUUACUGACGCUGAGGCACGAAAGCGUGGGGAGCGAACAGG
RNAcentral lists this ribosomal RNA (253 nucleotides) under uncultured bacterium. Its description in RNAcentral is "partial 16S ribosomal RNA". It matches the Rfam family "Bacterial small subunit ribosomal RNA", at positions 524 to 776 of the family's 1533-position model. The record is from RNAcentral.